RNAcentral lists this ribosomal RNA (465 nucleotides) under uncultured bacterium. RNAcentral's name for it is "partial 16S ribosomal RNA". It matches the Rfam family "Bacterial small subunit ribosomal RNA", at positions 28 to 507 of the family's 1533-position model. The record is from RNAcentral.
GACGAACGCUGGCGGCGUGCUUAACACAUGCAAGUCGUACGGUAAGGCCCUUUCGGGGGUACACAAGUGGCGAACGGGUGAGUAACACGUGAGUAACCUGCCCACAACUUUGGGAUAACGCUAGGAAACUGGUGCUAAUACUGGAUAUGUGCCCCUGCUGCAUGGUGGGGGUUGGAAAGCUCCGGCGGUUGUGGAUGGACUCGCGGCCUAUCAGCUUGUUGGUGGGGUAGUGGCCUACCAAGGCGGCGACGGGUAGCCGGCCUGGGAGGGUGACCGGCCACAUUGGGACUGAGAUACGGCCCAGACUCCUACGGGAGGCAGCAGGGGGGAAUAUUGCACAAUGGGCGCAAGCCUGAUGCAGCAACGCCGCGGGCGGGAUGACGGCCUUCGGGUUGUAAACCGCUUUCAGCAGGGACGAAGCUUUUUGUGACGGUACCUGCAGAAGAAGCACCGGCUAACUACGUG